This 518-nucleotide ribosomal RNA is filed under the name uncultured bacterium. RNAcentral describes it as "partial 16S ribosomal RNA". It matches the Rfam family "Bacterial small subunit ribosomal RNA", at positions 899 to 1397 of the family's 1533-position model. The record is from RNAcentral.
ACUCAAAUGAAUUGACGGGGGCCCGCACAAGCGGUGGAACAUGUGGUUUAAUUCGAUGCUACGCGAAAAACCUCACCAGGGUUUGACAUACAGGAAGUAGUGAACUGAAAGGGGAACCAACUGUCAAGUCAGUAGCCUGUACAGGUGCUGCAUGGCUGUCGUCAGCUCGUGUCGUGAGAUGUUGGGUUAAGUCCCGCAACGAGCGCAACCAUUAUCUCUUGUUGCCACCUUUUAUGACCGAAAGGUUAUGAGAGAGCACUCUAGAGAGACUGCCUGGGAUAACCAGGAGGAAGGUGGAGAUGACGUCAAGUCAGUACGGCCUUUAUGCCCUGGGCUACACACGUGUUACAAUGGGCAGCACAGAGGGUUGCCAACCCGCAAGGGGGAGCUAAUCUCUAAAAACUGUCCUCAGUUCAGAUUACAGUCUGCAAUCCGACUGUAUGAAGCCGGAAUCGCUAGUAAUGGCAGAUCAGCACGCUGCCGUGAAUACGUUCCCGGGCCUUGUACACACCGCCCGU